RNAcentral lists this ribosomal RNA (354 nucleotides) under Triticum aestivum (bread wheat). Its description in RNAcentral is "partial small subunit ribosomal RNA". Lineage: Eukaryota; Viridiplantae; Streptophyta; Magnoliopsida; Poales; Poaceae. The record is from RNAcentral.
AUGUCUGUGCGGAUCAAGGCGGUGGUGGACAGGUUCGUGAAGGAGCUGCAGGAGGCGCUGGACGCGGACAUCCAGGACCGCAUCAUGAAGGAGCGGGAGAUGCAGAGCUACAUCCAGGAGCGCGAGCGCGAGGUCGCCGAGAGGGAGGCCGCCUGGAAGGCCGAGCUCUCCCGCCGCGAGGCUGAGAUUGCGCGGCAAGAGGCGAGGCUGAAGAUGGAAAAAGAGAACCUGGAGAAGGAAAAAAGCGUCCUCAUGGGAACCGCCUCCAACCAAGACAACCAGGACGGAGCCCUCGAGAUCACCGUCAGCGGCGAGAAGUACAGAUGCCUUCGUUUCUCCAAGGCGAAGAAGUGA